This 149-nucleotide unclassified non-coding RNA is filed under the name soil metagenome. Its description in RNAcentral is "partial internal transcribed spacer 1". The record is from RNAcentral.
UCGUAGAGCUUCGGCUCCUUCGAGGGAGAACCCUUGCCUUUUCGAGCACCUGUUUGUUUCCUCGGCAGGCCCGCCUGCCAACUGGGGACCAUUUUAAACCCUUGCGAUCAACCUGAACAAAAUCGUCUGAACAAAAAAAAUCUAAAUCA